RNAcentral lists this ribosomal RNA (550 nucleotides) under uncultured archaeon. RNAcentral's name for it is "bacterial SSU rRNA". It matches the Rfam family "Archaeal small subunit ribosomal RNA", at positions 325 to 878 of the family's 1478-position model. The record is from RNAcentral.
ACGGGGUGCAGCAGGCGCGAAAACUCCGCAAUGCACGAAAGUGUGACGGGGCUACCCCGAGUGCCGUCCGCUGAGGAUGGCUUUUCUCUGCUGUAAGGAAGCGGAGGAAUAAGGAGAGGGCAAGUCUGGUGUCAGCCGCCGCGGUAAUACCAGCUCUCCGAGUGGUAGGGAUGAUUAUUGGGCUUAAAGCGUCCGUAGCCGGCUUUUCAAGUCUCUCGUUAAAUCCAGCGAUUCAAUCGUUGGACUGCGGGAGAUACUGCUAGGCUAGGAGAUGGGAGAAGCCGACGGUAUUUCCGGAGUAGGGGUAAAAUCCUAUAAUCCCGGGAAGACCACCAGUGGCGUAGGCGGUCGGCUAGCACACGCUCGACGGUGAGGGACGAAAGCUGGGGAGCGAACCGGAUUAGAUACCCGGGUAGUCCCAGCUGUAAACGAUGCGGACUAGGUGUUGGAGCGGCUACGGGCCGCUUCAGUGCCGCAGGGAAGCCAUUAAGUCCGACGCCUGGGGAGUACGGCCGCAAGGCUGAAACUUAAAGGAAUUGGCGGGGGAGCA